UAUACGUCACUUGCGAAUUUCGCAUAUAUUUCUUUCUUGGACUGCAAACUUCAAUAUAAAGUUGAAUUUGCUCGAAAACACAUAACUUAUACAAGGAGAUGUAAUAUUUAACAACCCAUCUAAUAAUUGUCGUCCACAUUUUUCGAGUUCUGUCAAUAAUUCAUUGUCCUGUGAAUGAAACUGAAUGGAAAUCCAGAUCUGAAACGAAAGUUUGUCAGGGCAAAGAUGUCUACCACUGUUUACUUGUCGAGGAUGAAAAAUCAAGAAAAGAGAAAUGUCUAGAGAGAACAUUAGUAUUAGGCGGUCAUUGUCCAAUCAUAACUCAUGAUGAUUAUUUGCACUGGAAGACAUGUAAUGAAACUGGCUGCCCGAGUACCCCUUUCCGUAGUGACGAGGUUUAUAAAUGUAAGAAAAGAAUGAAUGU
Molecule: long non-coding RNA, 424 nt
Organism: Saccostrea cuccullata (small rock oyster)
Lineage: Eukaryota; Metazoa; Mollusca; Bivalvia; Ostreida; Ostreidae
Exons: 4
Source: RefSeq, a predicted model, not a curated record